This 72-nucleotide transfer RNA is filed under the name Rattus norvegicus (Norway rat). It matches the Rfam family "tRNA". From Rfam's summary of the family: Transfer RNA (tRNA) molecules are approximately 80 nucleotides in length. Their secondary structure includes four short double-helical elements and three loops (D, anti-codon, and T loops). Further hydrogen bonds mediate the characteristic L-shaped molecular structure. tRNAs have two regions of fundamental functional importance: the anti-codon, which is responsible for specific mRNA codon recognition, and the 3' end, to which the tRNAs corresponding amino acid is attached (by aminoacyl-tRNA synthetases). tRNAs cope with the degeneracy of the genetic code in two manners: having more than one tRNA (with a specific anti-codon) for a particular amino acid; and 'wobble' base-pairing, i.e. permitting non-standard base-pairing at the 3rd anti-codon position. The record is from Rfam by way of RNAcentral. Lineage: Eukaryota; Metazoa; Chordata; Mammalia; Rodentia; Muridae.
GGGGAUUUAGCUCAGUGGUAGAGCGCUUGCCUAGCAAGCGCAAGGCCCUGGGUUCGGUCCCCAGCUCCCCCG